CACGUAGGAGCCAAGCGUUAUCCGAAUUCACUGGGCGUAAAGCGCGUGUAGGCGGCUUGGUAAGUUGGAUGUGAAAGCUCCUGGCUCAACUGGGAGAGGACGUUCAAUACUGCCGGGCUAGAGGGCGACAGAGGGAGGUGGAAUUCCCGGUGUAGUGGUGAAAUGCGUAGAUAUCGGGAGGAACACCAGUGGCGAAAGCGGCCUCCUGGGUCGCACCUGACGCUCAGACGCGAAAGCUAGGGGAGCGAACGGGAUUAGAUACCCCAGUAGUCC
RNAcentral lists this ribosomal RNA (273 nucleotides) under uncultured prokaryote. Its description in RNAcentral is "partial 16S ribosomal RNA". It matches the Rfam family "Bacterial small subunit ribosomal RNA", at positions 524 to 796 of the family's 1533-position model. The record is from RNAcentral.